RNAcentral lists this long non-coding RNA (1493 nucleotides) under Homo sapiens (human). Its description in RNAcentral is "HSALNT0336543". The record is from RNAcentral. Lineage: Eukaryota; Metazoa; Chordata; Mammalia; Primates; Hominidae.
CUAUAUACAAGUUGCAGUGGCAUAAAAAAACAAACAACUAGUCCUAACUGGAGAGGUAACAGUUGCUUGUUCACUGGGUUGGCCAAACUGCAAAAUGAACAAAAGUGGAGUCAGAAAGCAAAACAGUAUGAUAGAAUUUGAGAAACCUCAAGAAAAUCAGUAUCUAGCUCUAAAAUGGUAGAGUACAAACUGUGACAAAGGAGAGUACCAAGAAAUAAGGCUAUAGAGGUAGGUAGUAGCUACCUAUCUUGACCACAGAGCAGUGUAGGCAUUAGGAAACCAGGUUCAUAGUUUAGACAGAUCUGUCUGGCAACAAUGUAAAAUGGAUUAGGGGGAGGGGAUGAGAAAGAUGGUUGUCAGAGAGACCAGUAUAGGUGACGGGUUAUGAAAACUUAAAUUAAGGCAAUAGUGCAAUGGAGAUAGAAGGGCAGGAAUGUUAGAUGUAGUAAGCAGAUGACAGAACUGAUAGCACUCAAUCAUCAUCAACUUGAGUGAUGGGCAGGGAUUGGGCACAGGCGCCAGAUGAAGGAAAAAGCAGAGUGGAGAAUAAAUUCUGGGUUCAAGUGACAGGUGAAUGGUGGUGUUACUCACUGAGAAGAGGAACCGGUUCAGGGAGGGAAGGAAAGUGUGUUCUGGUUUUGAAUGUGUAGAGUCUGUGAUGCAUUUGAAAUAGCCAGUUCUAAUAUACAUGGGAAUAUAAUCUGGAGCCCAGAGGAGAUAAAUGUCUGGGUAAAGGAGAUAAAUGUCUAGGUGAAAGGUAUGGCAGUAACAGAAAAAACAGGAGUGGAUAAGAUCACUCAGAUAAAGUACUGAAUAAAAAGAAACAAACACAAAACCAGUAACAAAAGGCUUCUGGGGAUACCAAUAAUUAAGUGGCAGAGAAGUCCACAGAAGACAGAGACUGAGCAGUCAUAAAGGCAGAAGCAGAACCUAGAGAAUGAUGUCAUGGAAACCAAGGUAGUGCACAGUUUUCAGAAGGACAGGGUGAGUAAAUGGAGCCAUGAAGUGACUGGUUUUUCACAAAUCAACUGGCUGGUAAAACUUUCACAAUGCCAAAUAUAAGGUUUGGGGGUACACGUACUUACAACUGUAUUAAUUGAGACCCACGAGGCAAGAGAAGCACCUAGAAGAACAGAAUUACAAGGAAGAGAAUGGGGUUAGAAAUUUGUAGAAGACCGAGAAAGGUCUAAUGUAUAACAAUUUUUAAAACUUCAUGUGGAAAAAUUAUUCAUUUCACCAGUGACAUUAGGAUCUACUUAUGACCUCUGAAUCAGUCUUUGAUAAGGAUUACAGAGUAAAUGCCAAAAGAAACAAUAUGAUCCAAUCUUGUGUGGACCCAAAGUGCUGUUUGUUGAUUUGUUAUCAAGGAGCCUGCUCUUCCUAAUCUAUGCACUCCCUUGAAGAACUCAAGUCAUCUCCAUGUGCUCUGACACAAACUCUGCCCUCUACAUCUAUCCCCUCUCCUCAAAUUUCUCUGGUAUGUACAUUUCCAU